RNAcentral lists this long non-coding RNA (1008 nucleotides) under Felis catus (domestic cat). RNAcentral describes it as "lncRNA (ENSFCAG00000046879.1)". The record is from RNAcentral. Lineage: Eukaryota; Metazoa; Chordata; Mammalia; Carnivora; Felidae.
UCUUUGUUUAAAGUUUCUCUUUUAUCCUCAAAGCCUUCAGGAACUUUGUUUCUUCAAGCGAAAUAGUCUUGUGUUUGCUGUGUAAUAAAGUAUUAGGGGAUAGGCCUGUAUUCAUGCUUGAUAUAAAAAUCACAGGGGAGCAGCAGCUAGUUGAGUGGGCUAGAUUAAUGAUUUAAGGAGGGAAGGAAUCGAGUGCAUGGCAAGGACUAAUUUGUAGAAUAUCUAAGCAUAAGCAUUCUGUGACAUUUCUCAAGGUUAAAGGAAUAAAAUAAUCUUCUAUAGUCAAGCAGGGUGCAAGCCUGCAUAAUACAAAUGUGUGUAUCCAAAGAAAGAAACGUGGUAUUAUUUUUGGUUUCAGAAUAAUACAACCUGUCUUCAAAAGAUAUUCUUCACAAUAGCAUUCUCAGAUAAUUUAAUAGUGGGGGACACAGGUGAUGUUUAUUUUCUUGUUUUUGUUUCUUUGUUUUCAGAUGAUCUACAGUUAAAUUGUGCUAAUUUGCCAUCCUCCAAAAUUAAGGUAGAAGAAUACCUUAAAUAGUCUUUGUUUUGAAUCUACAAUCUCUUCAUUAGAAACAUCUACAAAUGCAGUAAAUUGAUCAAUGGCAUGGUUAUCCUCUCAUACAAAGGAGAUACAUCCACAUUGUCAGUGUCAACACUGAGGAAGAAAUGGAGCAGCCAACUGUUCAACUGAUCAGAGUAUUCAAUCCACUAAUCAAAGAGAGCGAUACAUUUAGGGGAGAGGAUCUUCCUAUUAUAAAUACCCUAUAUGCAUUUUUGAAGAAAAGAGUUCAUUCUCCUGUAUCAACAUUCAAAACAUCUAAAUUGCAAAGCUAAGUCUAAUGUUUUUUAAAGUCACCUAUUCUGAUUAAUUAAGUCCUUAGCAUUACCACUGUUUACAUUUACUCAGCAGAAAGCAGAGAGGAAAUCUCAAAACAAAGAACUUUUGUGGCCUCAGGGAAGUGUGAACCAUAAAGACAAUGAAAAUAAAAAUAAACAAAAUGAUGCUCA